RNAcentral lists this ribosomal RNA (253 nucleotides) under uncultured bacterium. RNAcentral's name for it is "partial 16S ribosomal RNA". It matches the Rfam family "Bacterial small subunit ribosomal RNA", at positions 524 to 776 of the family's 1533-position model. The record is from RNAcentral.
UACAGAGGGUGCAAGCGUUAAUCGGAAUUACUGGGCGUAAAGCGCGCGUAGGUGGUUUGUUAAGUUGGAUGUGAAAUCCCCGGGCUCAACCUGGGAACUGCAUUCAAAACUGACAAGCUAGAGUAUGGUAGAGGGUGGUGGAAUUUCCUGUGUAGCGGUGAAAUGCGUAGAGAUCGGGAGGAACAUCUGUGGCGAAGGCGACUACCUGGACCAGCACUGACACUGAGGCACGAAAGCGUGGGGAGCAAACAGG